AUUGAACGCUGGCGGCAGGCCUAACACAUGCAAGUCGAACGAGUGGCGGACGGGUGAGUAAUGUCUGGGCAACUGCCUGAUGGAGGGGGAUCACUACUGGAAACGGUCGCUAAUACCGCAUACCCUCAUAUGUGCCCAGCUGGGAUUAGCUUGUUGGUGGGGUAACGGCUCACCAAGGCGACGAUCCCUAGCUGGUCUGAGAGGAGGACCAGCAAAACUGGAACGGAGAAACGGGCCAGACUCCUACGGGAGGCAGCAGUGGGGAAUAUUGGACAAUGGGCGAAAGCCGGAGACAGCCAUGCCGCGUAGAUGAAGAAGGCCUUCGGGUUGUAAAGUAAUUUCAGCGGGGAGGCGUUACCCGAAGAAGAAGCACCGGCUAACUCCGUGCCAGCAGCCGCGGUAAUAC
Molecule: ribosomal RNA, 406 nt
Filed under: uncultured bacterium
Lineage: Bacteria
Description: partial 16S ribosomal RNA
Rfam family: Bacterial small subunit ribosomal RNA
Source: RNAcentral